GGGCGGAAAAGAAUGGCAUCCCAAGAGGGUCAAAAUAGUACUGUAAGAGAAUAAGCCCAAUAGAUUGAGCACGCCCCCUACUCUUUCAAAUAGUUUCGUGAAAAGGGAAACAGAAAGCAAGGUCAAGAAGAAGCAGUACUGACCUGGGAAUCUAUAGAGUGAAGAAAAAAAAAGAAGGAAGAAAAGAUCCUUUGAAAAGGCAAGAGGGAAGCGAGAUUGCUUUACCAUGUUUCUUUCCUGUGCAGGUUGUUGUCCCAUCUCAGAGCCAUCUGUCACUGUCUCCCUUGCCCGCCCCUCUGGAAAUACUGCUGCAGCCAAGCUACAGUGCGACUGUCCUCUUGUGGGCAGAAAUGCCUGCCAGGGGUUGCAAGAGGAAACCAGCCUCUAGUUGGAUGGGAACCAGAGGGCUCUGGGAACGGUAUGAUCUCAUUCCUUGGGAUGGAGCCCACAUUUUCUCACCGGGUCAAGCCACUUCUGCUUGGUCUGUGGCAACCCAGCUGGAUUAGAAAAAGAAAAGCCUGCCUGAGGAACCUCAUAGCUAAAGGCCCAAAGACAUUAAAAAUUAGGCCUAUUCCUGUCUGUUCCAGCGUUCUAAAAAAUGAGCACUCCAUGCAGGUCCCUGAGACAUGAAAAUAGGCCUUUAAAUUGACCUUUCUACAGAGACGGUUUGGAUCUCCCUAAAACUUCAGCAAACUCUGCAGAACAUUCAACAAUUUCUUAGUCGGGUAUUUCCUUUAAAAUGUCCUGUUUCUUAUCAAUUUUAGAUAUUUUUCCAAGAACCCCAGGGAGAUUUGCAGUGGAAUAAUUUAGUUCACGUGGUAAAAAUGAAACCACCACUGCUCAGCUUAUGAUGCAAUAAAUAAAGUAAGUGUAAUAAAAGAGUCACUAAAGAAAACCCGAAAGUUUGGUAUCUUAAAAAGAAAAACCACAGCAACGUGGCUUU
This is a long non-coding RNA of Pteropus alecto (black flying fox), 943 nucleotides long. RefSeq lists it as uncharacterized. The record is from RefSeq and is a predicted model, not a curated record. The transcript has 3 exons. NCBI's taxonomy places the organism in Eukaryota, Metazoa, Chordata, Mammalia, Chiroptera, Pteropodidae.